CCUACGGGAGGCAGCAGUGAGGAAUAUUGGUCAAUGGUCGGGAGACUGAACCAGCCAAGCCGCGUGAGGGAGGAAGGUACAGAGUAUCGUAAACCUCUUUUGUCAGGGAACAAAGGCGGGGACGUGUCCCCGGAUGAGUGUACCUGAAGAAAAAGCAUCGGCUAACUCCGUGCCAGCAGCCGCGGUAAUCCGGAGGAUGCGAGCGUUAUCCGGAUUUAUGGGGUUUAAAGGGUGCGCAGGCGGUCUGUUAAGUCAGCGGUCAAAGCCCGGGGCUCAACCCCGGCCCGCCGUUGAAACUGGCAGUCUCGAGUUGGAGAGAAGUAGGCGGAAUGCGCGGUGUAGCGGUGAAAUGCAUAGAUAUCGCGCAGAACUCCGAUUGCGAAGGCAGCAUGCCGGCUCCACACUGACGCUGAGGCACGAAAGCGUGGGUAUCGAACAGGAUUAGAUACCCGGGGAGUC
RNAcentral lists this ribosomal RNA (459 nucleotides) under uncultured bacterium. RNAcentral describes it as "partial 16S ribosomal RNA". It matches the Rfam family "Bacterial small subunit ribosomal RNA", at positions 338 to 795 of the family's 1533-position model. The record is from RNAcentral.